This 595-nucleotide ribosomal RNA is filed under the name Micromesistius poutassou (blue whiting). Its description in RNAcentral is "partial 16S ribosomal RNA". It matches the Rfam family "Bacterial large subunit ribosomal RNA", at positions 1805 to 2592 of the family's 2925-position model. Lineage: Eukaryota; Metazoa; Chordata; Actinopteri; Gadiformes; Gadidae. The record is from RNAcentral.
UUUUUAAAACAUUNCCUUUUGCCCCCAAAAAUAUAAGAGGUCCCGCCUUGCCCUGGGCCUAUAAGAUUAACGGCCUCGGGUUUUUUAACCGGGGGAAGCCAGCGUAAUAACUUGUCUUAUUAAAUGAAGACCUGUUGAAUGGCCUCACGGAGGGCUUAGCUGUUUCCCAUCUCCAGUCAAUGAAAUUGACCUCCCCGUGCAGAGGCGGGGAUAACUACAUAAGACGAGAAGACCCUAUGGAGCUUUAGACCUAAAGUAAGUCACGUUUUACAUGCUACGAUAAUAGUAAAAACUUAGUGAUAAUUACUGAAGUGUCUUUGGUUGGGGCGACCGCGGGGUAAAACACCACCCCCAUGUGGACCGGGGAUAUUAUCCCUAAUACUCAGAGCCUCUACUCCNAGUAACAGAAAUUCUGACUUUUCUGAUCCGGUAUAACCGAUCUACGAACCGAGUUUCCCUAGGGAUUACAGCGCAAUCCCCUCUCAGAGCCCMUAACGACGAGGGGGUUUUCGNCCUCGNAUGAAAAAACAGGACCUCCUAAUGGUGCAGCCGCUGGUNUCCNUUCNAAAANCCNGUUUUGGCCCCCCAAAAAAAA